CAGUAGCCGCGGUAAUACGUAGGUGGCAAGCGUUGUCCGGAAUUAUUGGGCGUAAAGCGCACGUAGGCGGACUUUUAAGUCAGGGGUGAAAUCCCGGGGCUCAACCUCGGAACUGCCUUUGAUACUGGAAGUCUUGAGUGUGGAAGAGGUAAGUGGAAUUGCGUGUGUAGAGGUGAAAUUCGUAGAUGUUCGCAGGAACACCAGUGGCGAAGGCGGCUUACUGGUCCACAACUGACGCUGAGGUGCGAAAGCGUGGGGAGCAAACGGGAUUAGAUACCCGUGUAGUCCCUGUCUCUUAUAC
This 301-nucleotide ribosomal RNA is filed under the name uncultured bacterium. RNAcentral's name for it is "partial 16S ribosomal RNA". It matches the Rfam family "Bacterial small subunit ribosomal RNA", at positions 509 to 807 of the family's 1533-position model. The record is from RNAcentral.